GCCCUCGUCGACUUCGCUGGAGCCCUCACGGAGCACCCACGAUUCUCCUCGCUGAAGUGCCCACGAUUCUUCUCGCCGAAGCACCAGUUCUCCUCACUGAAGUGCCCUCGCGAUUCUCCUCACCGAAGCCCUUGCGAUUCUCCUCGCCGAAGUGCCCUCGCGAUUCUCCUCGCCGAAGCCCUUGCGAUUCUCCUCGCCGAAGUGCCCUCGCAAUUCUCCUCUCCAAAGCUCUCCUCGCCGCGCCCUCGCUGCGACGACUAUGGGCCCUAAGGCGCCCUCUGUGCGGCUGUAAUGCUGGAUUGCCUCAUUAUUUCACACUUCUGCAGACUCUAAGGUACAAAGGGAUAAUAAUUGAUGGUGAGCUUUGGAAUUUGGAUGAGUUUAUGUGAAUGCACUGUUUGUGCCGUUUUAGAGGUUUUGUGCCAUAUGUAGUUAUUGUUUGCAUUAUUGUGAAAUUUCUCAAGGAGAGGUGCUGGACAUGAAGACAACUUUUAUUUUGUUGAAAUGUGAUGUUAUUAGAAAUAUAGAUAUGUGAUGUUUCAUGAAGAUUGGUUUCUCUUAUAUGGGUUUCUGAAGUUUGAUGGCUUUGUUC
Molecule: long non-coding RNA, 592 nt
Organism: Zingiber officinale
Lineage: Eukaryota; Viridiplantae; Streptophyta; Magnoliopsida; Zingiberales; Zingiberaceae
Exons: 2
Source: RefSeq, a predicted model, not a curated record